GAAAUGCGAUAAGUAAUGUGAAUUGCAGAAUUCCGUGAAUCAUCGAAUCUUUGAACGCACAUUGCGCCCUCUGGUAUUCCGGGGGGCAUGCCUGUCCGAGCGUCAUUGCGAACCCCUCAAGCACGGCUUGUGUGAUGGCCCUCCCGCGUCUUGGUCGUCAAGACGGGCCCGAAAUGCAGUGGCGGCUUCGCGGUUAUCCGAUCAGCCAGAGCGUAUGGGGACUCUCUCUCUUGUCACACGCCCGCGGCGCGGACCGACGCCUGUCGACCUUUAUUCAUCUUCUCUCGGUUGACCUCGGAUCAGGUAGGGAUACCCGCUGAACUUAAGC
RNAcentral lists this unclassified non-coding RNA (328 nucleotides) under plant metagenome. RNAcentral's name for it is "partial contains 5.8S ribosomal RNA, internal transcribed spacer 2, and large subunit ribosomal RNA". The stretch from base 1 to 105 matches the Rfam family "5.8S ribosomal RNA", at positions 50 to 154 of the family's 154-position model. The record is from RNAcentral.